GGAAGGUCCGGCAUUGGCGUGCCAAGCGCUCUCGAAAAGCGUGGCGGGUAACACCGCUGGGGGUUCGACUCCCUCACCUUCCG
This 83-nucleotide transfer RNA is filed under the name Kitasatospora cathayae. RNAcentral describes it as "tRNA-Ser". Lineage: Bacteria; Bacillati; Actinomycetota; Actinomycetes; Kitasatosporales; Streptomycetaceae. The record is from RNAcentral.